This 459-nucleotide ribosomal RNA is filed under the name uncultured bacterium. RNAcentral describes it as "partial 16S ribosomal RNA". It matches the Rfam family "Bacterial small subunit ribosomal RNA", at positions 338 to 795 of the family's 1533-position model. The record is from RNAcentral.
CCUACGGGUGGCAGCAGUGAGGAAUAUUGGUCAAUGGCCGGAAGGCUGAACCAGCCAAGCCGCGUGAAGGACGAAGGUGCCAAGCAUUGUAAACUUCUUUUGUCAAGGGACAAAAUCAGGCUCGAGAGCCUGACCGAGGGUACUCGAAGAAAAAGCAUUGGCCAACUCCGUGCCAGCAGCCGCGGUAAUACGGAGGAUGCGAGCGUUAUUCGGAUUUAUGGGGUUUAAAGGGUGGGUAGGCGGGCUGUUAAGUCAGCGGUAAAAGCCCGGGGCUCAACCCCGGCGAGCCGUUGAAACUGGCUGUCUUGAGAUGUCGAGAGGUAUGCGGAAUGCGCGGUGUAGCGGUGAAAUGCUUAGAUAUUGCGCAGAACUCCGAUUGCGAAGGCAGCAUACCGGCGGCGAUCUGACGCUGAGGCACGAAAGCGUGGGUAUCGAACAGGAUUAGAUACCCCAGUAGUC